AGUCUUUGUGUGUAAUAGCCUGGCUGUCCUGGAACUUGGUAGAUCAGGCUGGCCUCAAACUCACAGACUCACAGAUAUCUGCUUGUCUCUGCCUUCUGAGCGCUGGAACUAAAGCGCUGCAAGGUUCCAGAAGGAUCUGCAUUUGAGCAUCUCUAAAGGGAGCCCCUGGCAGUCUCUGGACACCCCCUACAAAGCCAUGGAGUCAGCACCCAGUCAGGAUAUCUAGGCUGAGUGGGGCUUGUGGCAGCUGUUCUACUAAAGACCACAGAGCAAUUUUCCCAUCGUUCCUGGUAAUCUGGAGUGACACGAAGCGUUUCCCCAGAGCUGAGGUACGAACUGGCUUGGCUCCAGUUUACAAAGAAAGAAACAAAAGUCAUCACCAUCCACAACAGCAAAACACGGGAAAAAA
This is a long non-coding RNA of Peromyscus eremicus (cactus mouse), 409 nucleotides long. RefSeq lists it as uncharacterized. The record is from RefSeq and is a predicted model, not a curated record. The transcript has 4 exons. NCBI's taxonomy places the organism in Eukaryota, Metazoa, Chordata, Mammalia, Rodentia, Cricetidae.